This 498-nucleotide ribosomal RNA is filed under the name uncultured bacterium. RNAcentral describes it as "partial 16S ribosomal RNA". It matches the Rfam family "Bacterial small subunit ribosomal RNA", at positions 28 to 507 of the family's 1533-position model. The record is from RNAcentral.
GAUGAACGCUGGCGGCGUGCCCAAUACAUGCAAGUCGAGCGAACUUUUGGGAGCUUGCUCCCAAAAGUUAGCGGCGGACGGGUGAGUAACACGUGGGUAACCUGCCUGUAAGACUGGGAUAACUUCGGGAAACCGGAGCUAAUAUCGGAUAACAUUGAAGACAACAUGGCCUUCAAUUAAAAGUUGGCCUUUACCUAACACUUACAGAUGGACCCGCGGCGCCUUAGUUAGUUGGUGAGGUAACGGCUCACCAACGGGACGAUGCGUAACCGACCUGGGAGGGUGGUCGGCCCAACUGGGAAUGGGGAACGGGCCAAGCUCCUACGGGGAGCAGCAGGAGGGGAACAUUCGCAAAGGACGAAAGUCUGACGGAGCAACGCCGCGUGAGGGAAGAAGGCCUUCGGGUCGUAAAGCUCUGUUGUUAGGGAAGAACAAGUAUCGUGCGAAUAGGGCGGUACCUUGACGGUACCUAAACAGAAAGCCACGGCUAACUACGUG